GUAAAAUGUUAUGAUUUAUUUCGAUAUAAGUCCACUUUCAAGACUAUAGUGCAUCUACUGUGUGUAUGACCAAGAAUAGUACCAUGAACAAAACAGAAGCAGGUGAGAGAUAAACAGACCAUAAUGCAGCAGCCUAAUAACCACAGCAGCCGGUCUCCUAAGGUGAAGGAGAAGGACCCUCACCAGUGGUUGGAGGACAGAAGCUCAGAACCCUGGAACAGGCCCAACCUCAGUGACAAGCUGCAGGCUCUCUUAUAUGACACCCUAUUCCCUAUAUAGGACUUUAUCCAGUUCCAAUGUCAUGCAUUUCCUUACAAGGAAACAAUUGGAGAAUUACAGUAACAGAUAAUCACACUAAGGAUGUCUUUGGAACUGACCCUGAUGAUGAUGUCGUCUAUGGCUGUCUCACAUGACUCACUAUUCACUAUAUAGUGCACUACUUUGACUAGAGCCCAGUCUUUUCCAUUAAGUGCACCACUUGUGACCAGAGCUACAUUGUGACAAGACCGGCUCUGUAGUAAACACUAGGAUUUAACAGUAUAAUCAGCCUACUAGUGUGUGGGUGUAUGCUGUCUUUUCUAACCCUGUCUUUACGCCCACUGAUGGUGAUACAGGACAAGAGCCUGGAGACGGUGGAUGCUACCCAUUCAGCACCCUGGAAUAAACCACAACUCCUCAACAGCAAGUCUCUUCCAAGUUCCAGUACCAAUACCUUACACUCUCUCUUGGCGAUCUUAUCCAGUGAGAGGAUGGGGCGUUCGGGGGGAAGGUAGAGGGGUCGACCCACUGGAGAUCCCACUGGAGGAGUGAUGGCCCGGCGCUCCAUAACACUGCCCGUCCUGCAACACACACACACGGACAGAUACAGACAGACGCAACAGACAGGCACACACACAAGAUGGGGAUGAUUAGGAGAGAGUUCAAAGAGCCUGAGAGCGGUCAAGGAGGCACUGCCAGAACGUGGGGAUUACAGUAUGGUUGGGUGUGCGUGUUUGACUGAAUGCUAAUGUGUGUGUGUCUACGUGUGUGUUCUGCCUUCAAGUUAAAUCUAAAAGGGGAAUAUACACUUGAUGUUUUUCCUCCCCGAUCUAUACAACCUACUGUACAUUCUCAAAGUGAAUGAGAACUACAUACCUACGUAAUCAAAACACCUUUGUUUUAUUCAUUUUUUAAAAUUCAUUAUUCGUUUUAUUCAUUUGGAAAAUGUUCUAUAAAUGUUAAUAAUUUUCUGAAAAUGUGGAGUAGGUUGUGUAGAUCGAUAGGGAAGCAAAUGUAAUGUAUUCCUAUUUAGAUUACAUUUUAAGGCAGCAAGACUUUCACUAGCGACUGUAUAUACGCGUCAGUGUCUCCUACCUCAUAAGAUGUGACCGUGAGGGUUGUUGGUGAGAGAAGCUCUGUGACCGUCCCAUACUCUGUCUGUCCAGCAGGUCUCUAACAGCAGGGCUGGAGGGAGAGUUGUGACGGGACAGGGACAGAGACAUGGGCCUGGCCUCAGCAGGGGGGUUGGAACAGGACGCUGUGAACUGGAGCUUCAGCUUCAUGUGCUGGCUUAACUGGAGAGGAAGAGGAGGGUGAGUGAGUAAUGUUUGGUCAGACAAGACAAGACAGUCAGACAGACAGGAAGUGAGUGUGAGUGUGUUGGUACCUCAAACAGUCCUGCCUUGAGAAUCUGGAAGGCAACUGUGAAGGAGAGGGUGGAUCCUUUCCGACACUGUCCCAAGUUGUUGAGGGGGGAGUGACACACCACAGAACUCGCUGACGGGUCCUCCUGCCGACCACGUCCUGGGGGGAGGAAGGAAGAGAGGGUGGUGUUUAGUUUAACCAAGGAGAGAGCAAUAUAAUAUAACCUAAAGUCAUUAUGUUCCUCUGGUAUGUAGUCAGUUAGUUAGGGGCUUUGUUACAAAUCAUGACUGGAUGUUAGACAGGAUUCACCCCUCAUCUACCACUACACAUCUCCCUCCCUCCCUCCCAACAACCUCUCCAUUAUUUAUUUUUUCCGCUUUCCUCCAUCUUCACUCUCUCUUUCCAUUCCUCUUCCAAUCUCUCUCUAUCACUGUUUUCCCCCCUCCAUAAUGAUUAUCUCUUCUCACCUUCGGGUGUCCAGACCAGGCGUACAGCCAGGAAGUCCUGCAGGUUGUUGAGGAGGGUGUAUUUGACCCGGAAGUGUUCCAGCGGCCUCACGGAACUCUGACAAGAAGCUGUCAUCACUAAACGGGGGCGGUCCAGUCUCACGCUGGGUAGCUGGUAGUGGGUCGAAAUGUACCUGGGGAAGGGAAGUGAAGAAGGUCAAAUCAGGUAAUAAUGAGGGAGGUAUAUUUGGACAGAUAAUAGAGUUAAUGAAGAGUAGUUAUUAUGGGAUAGUUCCAACAAAUACUGGGUGUACACUUAUCUUGUGAAGGGAAGGCUUGUAGUUAUGCUUGUAGUUAUAAUAGGAUAGUUACAGUGCAUUCGGAAAGUAUUGGGACCCCUUCCCACAUUUAGUUACGUUACAGCCUUAUUCUAAAAUGGAUUCAAAUACUUUUUCCCCCCUCAUCAAUCUAUACACAAUACCCCAUAAUGAC
Oncorhynchus gorbuscha (pink salmon) is the source of this 2561-nucleotide long non-coding RNA. RefSeq lists it as uncharacterized. The record is from RefSeq and is a predicted model, not a curated record. Lineage: Eukaryota; Metazoa; Chordata; Actinopteri; Salmoniformes; Salmonidae. The transcript has 3 exons.